UUGAACGCUGGCGGCAUGCCUUACACAUGCAAGUCGAACGGUAGAGGGGCAACCCUUGAGAGUGGCGAACGGGUGAGUAAUAUAUCGGAACGUGCCCAGUCGUGGGGGAUAACGCAGCGAAAGCUGCGCUAAUACCGCAUACGAUCUAUGGAUGAAAGCGGGGGAUCGCAAGACCUCGCGCGAUUGGAGCGGCCGAUAUCAGAUUAGGUAGUUGGUGGGGUAAAAGCCCACCA
This 233-nucleotide ribosomal RNA is filed under the name uncultured bacterium. RNAcentral describes it as "partial 16S ribosomal RNA". It matches the Rfam family "Bacterial small subunit ribosomal RNA", at positions 30 to 270 of the family's 1533-position model. The record is from RNAcentral.